AUUGAACGCUGGCGGCAUGCUUUACACAUGCAAGUCGAACGGCAGCGCGGGGCAACCUGGCGGCGAGUGGCGAACGGGUGCGUAAUAUAUCGGAACGUACCCAGAAGUUGGGGGUAACGUAGCGCAAGUUACGCUAAUAGCGCAUACGAUCUACGGUGGAAAGUAGGGGACCGCAAGGCCUUAUGCUUUUCUUGCUGCCGCUAUCUGAUUAGCUAGUUGGCGAGGUAAAGGCUCACCAAGGCGACGAUCAGUAGCUGGUCUGAGAGGACGACCAGCCACACUGGAACUGAGACACGGUCCAGACUCCUACGGGAGGCAGCAGUGGGGAAUUUUGGACAAUGGGCGCAAGCCUGAUCCAGCAAUGCCGCGUGAGUGAAGAAGGUCUUCGGGUUGUAAAGCUCUUUUGUCAGGGAAGAAACGGUAGAGGCUAAUAUCCUUUGCUAAUGACGGUACCUGAAGAAUAAGCACCGGCUAACUACGUG
RNAcentral lists this ribosomal RNA (482 nucleotides) under uncultured bacterium. Its description in RNAcentral is "partial 16S ribosomal RNA". It matches the Rfam family "Bacterial small subunit ribosomal RNA", at positions 30 to 507 of the family's 1533-position model. The record is from RNAcentral.